UGAAAAAGCAAGGGGUGCCUAUUUGGGCUGAGAAAACACCCUUUGAACCUGACCUGGGUAAUGCCAGCGUAGGGAAUGGCGAUUGCUGUUUUU
RNAcentral lists this non-coding RNA (93 nucleotides) under Syntrophobacterales bacterium. RNAcentral's name for it is "TPP sequence". It matches the Rfam family "TPP riboswitch aptamer (THI element)". Rfam says of the family: Vitamin B(1) in its active form thiamin pyrophosphate (TPP) is an essential coenzyme that is synthesised by coupling of pyrimidine and thiazole moieties in bacteria. Lineage: Bacteria; Pseudomonadati; Thermodesulfobacteriota; Syntrophobacteria; Syntrophobacterales. The record is from RNAcentral.